UGAUGUAUGCACCUCAUGGUACACAUAGGGUUUUGAUUUGCUUUCCUUGACUGCAGAAGAUGUUAUUAUGAUGAGCCAGGUCAUGGUACACAGGCUAACUAAACAAGCUUCUGUUGUUUUAUUGUUGGUCGUUCCCGUCCACUGCUGCCAACAGUCAAUUUUCUGCAGGGUUUUUAUUUCUUUCUCUUCCAUCGAAAGCUCCUUUUUGCCACUGAUUAAUUAGUUGAUGCAUGUGGAGAUUUUCGAUACUAGGAGAACCAAGUUUAAACAUGUGCAAUUCCAUCUAUCUAGCAUCAAUUUCGGGUGAGGUUAGACUACAAGAAAGACUAGAUAUUAAGCUUGUUCAUUCUAUCUACACCUUUUGAAUCUGAAGUGACUACUGUUGUAAAUAAUGCUACUUGAGUACCUGGUUGAUUGGUUUUGUUUAUUGUGGCAUUGAGUAGCCUACUACAUUAGUGGUGUCAGCUAUAUUUUGUAAGUUUGUUAUCGAUUCAAUUUAGUUAUUUGUGUGUGUGAUUGAAAAAUAAUGGUUUACAUAUGAAUUGCUACAGUUUUAUAUAAUACUCUUUGAUCUGUGCUGCUAGGUCUGCUACUGCGUGCAUGACAACAUGAGGUGUCGCAAUCGGUGCGGUAUGCUGGUGAUAGAUGUUCUCGAUUGUGAUGCCCAAGCCUGUCUGCCGCAAUUGUGUGUUCGUUACUGCUGAGGUUAGAAAAAGCAUACAUCAAUUUUUCUCCUGCAAUUGUACGGUCGUUUCUGCUUUAGUUUAGAAAAACAUAAAACUGAGUUAUUUUUGCCUUUGGCAGACAGUCAUCCUACUUCGUAGUAAUCUGUGCCUUUCGUAUUUGCAUACUAAUCACGAGCCUUUUCUUCAUAAUGCUAAAUUUUGAAUUGCUUUGGCUCUAUAAUUUGUUUGAACUGAUCAUUUAAGAAUUUCAGAUAAGCGCAUCCAGAUCUUUUGACCCUUCCACGAAAAGGUGUAACAUGGUAAAUUUGUCGCAACAAGCAGCAUGGCAUUCUUGAUAGCUUUUCUCCCUAUUAUGACUUGCAUCUUUCUACCUUGCCCCAAAUUAAAUUUGAUUGGGACUGUUUGAUUGAAUGUCAAAUAAAGAUCAACUUUAUCUCUGAUCGAUUCAUGGAAAUGGAAACUGAAUAAUAUUCUGAUUAUUACUUGCAUGCUAUAUUCACUGUUUUUGGUUUAACAACUUGCAAGUGUUUCUUUUAAUCCGCAGAAAAAGGACUCACGGGUGGACAUCUGCUAUAAAUUACCUAGGCCUGGUCAUCUGCGUGAGUUGCAUCUGUCAUUUUUCUUCCCAGGUAGAACAUUAGUUUUGAUUAAAAACAAGGUAGAACAUUAGUGUUCUCCACAGUUUGAUGGGAACACUUUGACUUUCUGUAACCCCUAGAUUUGGUAUUUCCUGAUGAUUGCUUGCGGUUCUUCUUACUUUCUGGUAUAAAUAGAGAAAAAUGAGGAUAUUGUAGUUAUUUUAGAAUGUUCAAGAUUUAGGUGUCCAUACUGUGCUAACUAUGGUCUGAAUUGUUUUGCGGAAUCAUGAUGUCAUGUCGUGAUUACACAAUUCCAAGCUGUGGUUCAGAAGCACACUUCGCUAAAAUACACAUAAUGGUUUUUUUGGGUUUUCUUCUCACAAUAUAUGUACGUAAAUCAUGUAAUUUGCAACCUUGGUAAG
Molecule: long non-coding RNA, 1686 nt
Filed under: Triticum aestivum (bread wheat)
Lineage: Eukaryota; Viridiplantae; Streptophyta; Magnoliopsida; Poales; Poaceae
Description: long non-coding RNA (TAES_LNC002765)
Source: RNAcentral